GCUUGAAUUUGCCUAGCAACAGUUGCUUCAAGUUUUGAAUUAACUGAUUUCUCCAGCUGAUUCACUGCCUUAUCACCUACUCCUCUCUGGAACGACUCUGCAAUAGCUGAAGAUAUUGUUUUCUCAAUGACUGGAGACAUUGAACGAGCUAUAGCUGGCCCAACUGAAGCCAAUUCUUUCUUCACUGCCUUCUCUAACAUGACUGCCAAGUCCUUGUUGACAAAGUUAGAGAUCAAACUUGUUAUUUGCUGCAUGCGAUCUCUCAAUAACUUCUCACUUUUUGCAUUCUCUUCUUGAAAUCGAGCCCACAGUGCAUCAGUAUUUGCCUUGACAGCUUUCUCAAUGCUCCGCCCUAAAGCUGCUUCCAGUCUUCUGCAUUCUUUUGAAACAGGGACAGCUACCAUAUUUGACAUCUGCUUCUGCAUUUCUUUUUGUGUAGUCACUAGCUGAUUAAGAAUCUCCAGCAUAGCGAAAAUUUGAGGAAAGGCAGCUUCCAAAGACAGGAGACUUGAAGUGCCAGUUGGUUCAUUGGAAGAAUCUGUUGAAUUAAAAGCACUAGGAGAAGAAGAAGAUGGACCUGUUGCUUGAGAAUUUUUCCCCUUCUGCUUCUUCCCCUUCAUAUUUGGAGUUGUUGAUUGUUGAACUAUUGCAGGCAUACUUGACUCAGAAACUUUCCGUGAUGUAUCUUUUGUGGAGUCAUCAUGGACUUCUUCCUUACUUGUGUGAGAAGGUUGAGCAAGAAACUCAGCCAUAUCAACACCGUCAACUUGCUGAGGUUCCUCCAUUGUAUAAGUUUCUGCUGAUAUGGAACAACACUCCCUGGCCAUCUCAAUACCAAGAUCUGAAGCCUGGGAACAAAAAUAUUUUUCCUUGUUUUCUGAAAUGGGGUUUUUAGGUUCUCCACGGUGACCAAAUUCAUCUUUCUGAGUAGAGUUUGUUUCACCAACUACUUUAACCUCCACCUCUGCAUUACUGACAUUAUUAAUGACAACAACUUCUUGAAUAUUUGUUUCAACCUCAGUCUUGACCUCAUCAUUAUUAUUACUAGGAGAUGAAGCACCCAUUAGAAUCUCGG
This 1075-nucleotide unclassified non-coding RNA is filed under the name Hevea brasiliensis (rubber tree). Lineage: Eukaryota; Viridiplantae; Streptophyta; Magnoliopsida; Malpighiales; Euphorbiaceae. The record is from RNAcentral.